GCUUUCGCUUUCCUUUCGCGGUGCCCACUCCGCUCCUCGUGCGGCGCUAGGCCCCCGUCCCGGUCAUGGCCAUGCUGAGGGUCCAGCCCGAGGCCCAAGCCAAGGUGGAUGUGUUUCGUGAAGACCUCUGUACCAAGACAGAGAACCUGCUCGGGAGCUAUUUCCCUAAGAAGAUUUCUGAGCUGGAUGCAUUUUUAAAGGAGCCAGCUCUCAAUGAAGCCAACUUGAGUAAUCUGAAGGCCCCGUUGGACAUCCCAGUGCCUGAUCCAGUCAAGGAGAAAGAGAAAGAGGAGCGGAAGAAACAGCAGGAGAAGGAAGACAAGGAUGAAAAGAAGAAGGGGGAGGAUGAAGACAAAGGUCCUCCCUGUGGCCCAGUGAACUGCAAUGAAAAGAUCGUGGUCCUUCUGCAGCGCUUGAAGCCUGAGAUCAAGGAUGUCAUUGAGCAGCUCAACCUGGUCACCACCUGGUUGCAGCUGCAGAUACCUCGGAUUGAGGAUGGUAACAAUUUUGGAGUGGCUGUCCAGGUGAGAGCGCUGCCCCACUUCCCUGCUCUUUUCUAGUCCAUGCUUCCUUCCACUUUCCCCCUUGCUUUUUUUCCCUAGGAGAAGGUGUUUGAGCUGAUGACCAGCCUCCACACCAAGCUAGAAGGCUUCCACACUCAAAUCUCUAAGUAUUUCUCUGAGCGUGGUGAUGCAGUGACUAAAGCAGCCAAGCAGCCCCAUGUGGUAGGUGAGGCCCAGGUCAGGGUGCAUGGGGGAAGGACACAUGUAAGGUCAGGCCUGACCCGAGCUUCCCACAGGGUGAUUAUCGGCAGCUGGUGCACGAGCUGGAUGAGGCAGAGUACCGGGACAUCCGGCUGAUGGUCAUGGAGAUCCGCAAUGCUUAUGCUGUGUUAUAUGACAUCAUCCUGAAGAACUUCGAGAAGCUCAAGAAGCCCA
This 938-nucleotide small RNA is filed under the name Pongo abelii (Sumatran orangutan). Its description in RNAcentral is "retained intron". Lineage: Eukaryota; Metazoa; Chordata; Mammalia; Primates; Hominidae. The record is from RNAcentral.